Molecule: ribosomal RNA, 251 nt
Filed under: uncultured bacterium
Lineage: Bacteria
Description: partial 16S rRNA
Rfam family: Bacterial small subunit ribosomal RNA
Source: RNAcentral
GUGCCAGCAGCCGCGGUAAUACGUAGGUGGCAAGCGUUGUCCGGAUUUAUUGGGCGUAAAGGAUGUGUAGGCGGAUAUUUAAGUGAGAUGUGAAAUCCCCGGGCUUAACUUGGGGGCUGCAUUUCAAACUGGAUGUCUGGAGUGCAGGAGAGGAAAGCAGAAUUCCUAGUGUAGCGGUGAAAUGCGUAGAGAUGAGGAAAAAUACCGGUGGCGAAGGCGGCUUUCUGGAAGGUAACUGCCGCUGAGGCAUG